This is a long non-coding RNA of Labeo rohita (rohu), 1359 nucleotides long. RefSeq lists it as uncharacterized. NCBI's taxonomy places the organism in Eukaryota, Metazoa, Chordata, Actinopteri, Cypriniformes, Cyprinidae. The transcript has 4 exons. The record is from RefSeq and is a predicted model, not a curated record.
UCUUGGUUAAAGUCUGAUACCCACUCUCUCUCGUCACAUUAUUUUUGCUGUGUGCAUGAUCAGAGUAUUCGUAACCUUAGAAGGAUGUUUAGAACUGCAUAUGAACUGUGGAUAUUUUUCAUCUUUUACAUAGGGAAGGCGCAAUGUGUGCAUGUUCAACAAAAGGGCAUCAGAGAUGUCUGGGCUUACUUGUGCGCUGGGAAUUAUUAUCGUUGUGUUUUUAAGGACUGCAAAUUGUGUGAAUUUUGAACAGACUCCACUCUUGAUUGCCGACCAAAAUGGCGAAGCACAGAUCAACUGCAAACAUGACGACAGUAGCUUACUUGUCAUGUUAUGGUAUCGACAACAGAAAACUGGCAUGUCUCUAGAUCUGAUUGGCUAUGGUUACUCAGAAUCUCCACCAAACAAUGAGCCUGAAUUUCCAGAUCGGUUCCAACAAACUAGAAACAACGCAGUUAUGGGAUCUCUAACCAUCUCAAAACUCGUUCUCUCAGACUCUGCUAUUUAUUUCUGUGCUGCCAGUACACAGUGCUGCAAAAUCAUUUUUUACUAACAGAAAAACCCUCUACCUCUAUCUAAAAUAUAUUUCUCCAGUUUGUUACGGUAAAAUUUUGAGUGGUUAACCACUAUCAGGUGUGUUACAAACCAUGACUAACUGCCAGUAUUAAAUUCCUUUCCAGUGUGGAGGUGCUUAAAGAAGAAGAAUGAGAAUAUAAUGCAAGCAAAAUCUAAACUGUUUUUUUUUUUUUUUUUUUUUUUUUUAAAGUUAUUUUUCUAGGUGUUUUAAGUGAGAUUGAAACGACUGAGGCAGAGAAACAAGAAAGCUCUGGGAGGAGAGAGGGAAGUGGGAUUAGCAAAGGAUCUCAAGAUGGGAAUCAAACACAGGUCACUGCAAGCACAGUUACGCGCUAAGCAUGAGGCUAUUGGUGCUGACCGAAAUGUGAACUGUUAAUAUUAACUAUGGCACAUUAAAGUUGUUAACAAAAAGCAAAGAGAAUUCACUAAGAGUCUGAUUUACUGAACAAAUUAUGCAAGUCGUGUAACAGCGUAAACAAGCACUUAAAACAUGCUGAAGACAAUUUGCAAGGUGCAAUGAUCACACAAUUUCUUCAAUAAAAUUUGAAAGGUUUGAAACUGUUUGUGUGUUAUUAAUUAAAUGAGAUUGUGUUUGUCUAUAACUGACUUACAGUAGAUCAAUAUCAGAUGACAUUUAAUGAAUACAACAGUGUAGAUAUAUUUUUAAAACUUUUCAGUGUUUGUCAAUUAUGUCUGAAUCCUGUUGAUGCAUUUAAUCCACAUACACACCUACAAAAGUGCAACAACAACAAUAGACAUAUAUCCUAAAAGUACAUAAUUACA